GACCAUCAAGCUACAAAAAAGCUUGCAGAGAACUAUUUGCUUCUACAAUAUCUAAAAGCUCACAUGCUUUAUCAACCGUUUCUACUCUACCCCUCCACUACCUGUUGCUGUUGGAACUUUCUGAUUUAAAAUCCCAGUCGUAUCCAUGUACUAGAAGAAAAGACAAAGUGUCAAUAGUUGCCCUAAGAAACAAUUCCAACAAAUAAAUCAAAAGUGGUGCAUAUUUUUAGCCCCAGAAGCAUCCCAAUUGCAUUGCUAACCAAAGUGGGCUGCUUUUCAACCUUUCUUGUUUGUUAUUAUGUAUCUAUUGCAAGGGCUAUUGUUGUGAACUGCUUGCCACAUUAUCAUAGUAAUAUAAUGCAUCAACUAUGAUCUAGGAUGACUGUUAUAAAGUGCAUGCAGGACAAAUAAAUCGAAAC
This 419-nucleotide unclassified non-coding RNA is filed under the name Hevea brasiliensis (rubber tree). The record is from RNAcentral. Lineage: Eukaryota; Viridiplantae; Streptophyta; Magnoliopsida; Malpighiales; Euphorbiaceae.